Molecule: long non-coding RNA, 3974 nt
Organism: Mya arenaria
Lineage: Eukaryota; Metazoa; Mollusca; Bivalvia; Myida; Myidae
Exons: 3
Source: RefSeq, a predicted model, not a curated record
AGCAUUCAACACUAUUUCUUGUUGGAAAACUUUAUAAAAUUAACCUAUGAUAACGUGCUUAGUUUAUUCAAUAUCUUUAAAGUAACGUGUGUUGUAUUGGACAGCACCGAACUGCACUGCACAAUACACUCAGAACUGAGAUCUGAUAAGACAGCAGCAGGUAAUAUAGAUUAAGAGCAAUACACAGACGUUGUGUACUAUACACGGGCUGAGUUUAUUGUUUAUUGUGGAUAAGUUGGGUAUAAGACUUGUGUAUUGGUAUCAUGCGGAACCUGAUGUAUUGACAUUUCAUGUAUUUGUCCGCAGAACAAUGAAUACUUGCCUUUACAGUUUGAUAAAAUGCUCAUUCAAUUGUUCAUUCAAUUGGUCGUUAUUUACCUGUUAACCUGACUGUGUGAUGUAAGAAACGGAAGCAGGGGCAAAACAAUUACAUUAAACAUGUCUCACAUUAGAUAAUUAUACUUUUCAACCCUUUCCAAAAAUGAAGACUUCGAACCCUAGUUUUAAGACCUUUGAAAGUAGUAUAUGAGACUUUUUCAUAAUCCCCCGUCCUCCAAUUUGAAUGAAUGGGGUUCCCGGGAUUUAUCCCCCCGUUUCUCCGCCGGCGAACAAACCAUCUCGAAUACUGUAUGUACUUAUCAAAAAUGAAAGGGGUUCCAGCGGGGUUCAGUGACCCCCUCACCCCCCACAACAUCCACAACCUUCUCCAACCACCAACAACUACCGCAUACAACCCACGAACACGAUGAAGAACUAAAUCCUGGCGUACAAACCACCUCGCAUACUCUAUUGUAUGUACUUAUGGAAAAUGAAAGGGGUUCCCGGGUUUCAGCCAAUCCCCCCCCGAGCUCUCCUUCGACUUCCCCUUCCCUCUCAAACCACCAACAACUAGAAGGAAAUUAUUUUCCCUUGUUAAUGAUGAAAUAACCGCCAGGUUGCGAUUGAUGAUCACGAAGAAUUCGUGCGAAUAGGAAUGUAAAGGCAUUCAGCUUUUGUGAACCGAUCCGUUCACAUCGAUUUAAUUGAUUGUUAAAUUUGUGGUCGUACCGGGCAGUAUGCAGAAGGCAGUGUUUAAUGAAAAGGCUGUACAAAGAAUAGUUUAAAUCCUCGUGCAGAGGGUCAGUCGUAUUGAAAAUAUGUAAAUUGGAUUUAUAUGACAUGACGAAUUACAAAUUUGUGCUAAAGAAAAUUGUUUUUAAUAUUUUCAUAUUUAGUGCUUCGAAUUACAAACUUAUAAAGAAUGUGUUUCGUUGACAUAUUGUUAAUGAAUAUUAAGGUGACAUUUUUAUUUCUGUUUUGCGAGCUUCACGUUGGAAUAAUAUGCAAAACAAUAAAGUCGGGGUUCAGGAUUCCGUGGUUCAACCACGUGGGUGUGAACACAUGAGCUGGUCAAGAUGGUCAUCUCGUGACAACUGUUUUGGGUUGAUGUCAUCGCCUGUUCACGUGUUACGCUUCCGGUGGAUUUCCUUCGAUGGUUGGGGUUUUCUGGUAUAAUAUCACCAGACAGCGUCAGCCAUAGUUGAAGCCAUACAGGCAACAUAAAAAGAUAAGUAUUAUAAAUGAAAUUCAAUCAUCUCUGAAUUGAAAGAGAAAGAUUUUAAGCAAUGCUGUUAAAUCUGCAAAGCAUUACAAGUUAUGAGAUGCAUAAGCUUUAAUUUUAAUUAUGUGGUGUAUGCAACGUUAUGGAGUCUGUUCAUGUAUAUAUUAGUUAAAAGUGUGUCAGAUAUAAAAGGAUCUCAUAUACUCUUUAUUCAAUAUUCAGUUUGUAAGUGAUGUGAUACUACAGACAUAUUCAAGAAUAUACUGUUUCUAAAAGUGUAUAUACAUUCAUUUCCACAAUAUUUCAAAUUCGAUGGUUAAAACAAGUUAUACACAGGGCUUACAAAAAGUAGUAAAUUCUUAAAUACGACCGCUCGCAAAUUUUUAUAAAAUAUUUCACGAGCAAAUUUGGUAUAUUCAAACUUCAUAUAUUUUCGUGAAAAACUUUUAUUUAGAAAAGGUGUUCUUUGAUUUGAAAGAUAGUAUUAUAUUUAAUAAUAUAAUGUACACAUGUACGAUGAAUUGGGUACUUUGUCUGGAGUGUUUGAUUGUGAUGAUAUUGCAUUUUACUACUACUACUACUGCUACUGCUGCUGCUGCUGCUGCUACUGCUACUACUACUACUACUACUACUACUACUACUACUACUACUACUACUACACUACUGCUGCUGCUGCUGCUGCUGCUACUGCUACUGCUACUGCUGCUGCUGCUGCUGGUGCUACUGCUACUGCUACUGCUACUACUACUACUACUACUACUACUACGAAUAUCAUAUUCGUGUGUCUGUUGUAACUUACCAUAACCUAAGAAUAAAGUUUAACAGCAUCGUGAAUUCAAUGGCAGCAUCACCAAGACUAUACAAUUGUUAUAAAGUUUUAAUAAAAGGCAACAUCGCUGAUUCACGGCGAAACGUGAGGUUGUAUUCCCAGGCAAAGGAGCAAACACAGUUGUAACCUAUCUCCACGAUUAUCUGCCAACUAACUACGGCCUGGGAGCCGACUUCACCAAAUGUUCAUGCGACUGGCAUUAUGGAAUUUGGAAAUUGGUGGAUGCACAUGGGUGAAAUAACAUAGGUGGCUUCUAGAGUAGCCACGUCAUCCCGCAAUGACCACAACAUCCCACAUAUUGUUAAUGGCAGUCGCAAAUCAGUGCCAUUUUAUGACUGGAUCACCUUUAAAGGCAUUUUCAAACCAUUGAAGAACAUUUCCAAAUACAAUUCAUUUGAGGUAUCGCCUAACAAGAAUGGGGUUGUAAGAGUUAGGAAGUUUGUUGGUGCUCCAGAGGAGAGAAUAAACAUUAUAAAAACCUGCCAAGUGGAUAUUGGUGUUCUGCAAGAGCAGAUCGUUGGUGAUGGAAUCAGUGCUGAAAGGCACUUGCAUGAUGUAAUUAGAGAUUUUUGCAUUUCGGAUAAUGCCAAAAACACAACAUGCCCUUUACCAUUUGUUGCAAAAGAAGGCAAUUCAAAGGCCAAAAAACAAAAGUUUAACUAGGUUACUUUAUUAAAAGUGACACUAUUAUUCAAAAUCAGUACGUACACAUGUAUAACAAACACAAAAUUUGACUGAUAAACCUAUAACUACUUACUAAAAAAUGCAUUUAUGUAACAUAUUAAUUACUGAUAACAAGCGUGUUACCUUAUUUUUAAUAGCAGAAAGCGCAAAAAUAUUAAAUGAUUGGUGAAUGCUAAAAGAUUUACUGUGGUCUACAAUAGUUUUAUAAGGGAAAAAUACCGUGUUUUAUGUUCAUUUCUUUCAAAUUCAACUAGGUAUUAUUCAUAAGAACCAUUGCUUUUGACAUUUAUUCAUCCUUUUGAAAUAUUAUAAUUAUAAUAUUAUUAUUUGUGGCAGAUCUUAUUUGUGAGUAAGAGUGCAUCUUUAAGAACAUAUGUCUGUGUGUGUUUGGCAAAAGUGAUAGUUGUCUUGCUACAAACCGAUUGGCAAGAAUUAGUGGAAGUUUGAUGUAAUUAUGUGUAUAUUAUAAGUGUACAUGUAAAAAGUUAUACAUUUGAUUAGUUUCAAUGUACCUUGCAUGCAAAUGUAUGUUGUCAAUUUUUGUCAAAUUAGGCAUUUAUCAAGGCUUUUUAUGUAAAUACAUUUGAUUUUUGUCAUUUUACAGCUCCAAAAGAAUAGAGUUUGUUGCUAUGGCCACCAAUUAUAAAGUGCCUUGUUAUUGAUUAAAAAGGUAAUUGAUUUCACCGGACAACUUACAUCCUUUAAAUAAUUGCUUGUGUUAAAUAAAUAUGUUUGUGUUUUGAUUAAUACCAGGAUAAACUGCACUGUUUUUGAACAGUUCACCUUGUUCUUGUAAAGUGGCAGAUUUUCUUUUCAUGGUCUAAGGAAAAUUGCUAUAAACGUUCUAUUUUACUUCUUUACAGGCUUAAAUUUAAAUGUUGUACUUAAAUAUAUCCCAGAAUAAUAAUCUAUAAAAUUCAA